GUGUCAGCAGCCGCGGUAAUACGGAGGAUGCAAGCGUUAUCCGGAUUUAUUGGGCGUAAAGCGUCCGUAGGUGGUGAUUCAAGUCUGCUGUUAAAGCGUGGAGCUUAACUCCAUAAUGGCGGUGGAAACUGAAUGACUGGAGUGCAGUAGGGGUAGCGGGAAUUCCCGGUGUAGCGGUGAAAUGCGUAGAUAUCGGGAAGAACACCAGCGGCGAAAGCGCGCUACUGGGCUGUAACUGACACUGAUGGACGAAAGCUAGGGGAGCGAAAGGGAUUAGAAACCCUUGUAGUCC
This 292-nucleotide ribosomal RNA is filed under the name uncultured bacterium. RNAcentral describes it as "partial 16S ribosomal RNA". It matches the Rfam family "Bacterial small subunit ribosomal RNA", at positions 505 to 796 of the family's 1533-position model. The record is from RNAcentral.